Non-coding RNA from Ceratotherium simum simum (southern white rhinoceros), 90 nucleotides. The record is from RefSeq and is a predicted model, not a curated record. Lineage: Eukaryota; Metazoa; Chordata; Mammalia; Perissodactyla; Rhinocerotidae.
UCCUAUAAAACUUUAUUUCUGGACCCUGAAACUUGAAUUUCAUGUAAUGUUCAUGUGUUACAAAAUAUCCUUCUUUGGUUUUUUCUUCCA